Molecule: ribosomal RNA, 508 nt
Filed under: uncultured bacterium
Lineage: Bacteria
Description: bacterial SSU rRNA
Rfam family: Bacterial small subunit ribosomal RNA
Source: RNAcentral
AGAGUUUGAUCAUGGCUCAGAGUGAACGCUGGCGGCGUGCUUAACACAUCCAAGUCGAACGAGAACGGAUUAUAGCUUGCUAUAAUUGUCAGCUAAGUGGCGGCACGGGUGAGUAAUGUAUAGGUAAUAUGCCUCUUACUAAGGGAUAACAAAUGGAAACGUUUGCUAAUACCUUAUACUCCUUAUUAACAUAAGUUAAUAAGGGAAAGAUUUAUUGGUAAGAGAUUAGCCUGUAUUGUAUCAGUUAGUUGGUGGGGUAAUGGCUUACCAGACCUAUGACACAUAACUGGUUUGAGAGGAUGAUCAGUCACACUGGAACUGAGACACGGUCCAGACUCCUACGGGAGGCAGCAGUGGGGAAUAUUGCACAAUGGACGAAAGUCUGAUGCAGCAACGCCGCGUGGAGGAUGACACAUUUCGGUGCGUAAACUCCUUUUAUAUGAGAAGAUAAUGACGGGAUUAUAUGAAUAAGCACCGGCUAACUCCGUGCCAGCAGCCGCGGUAAUAC